Molecule: long non-coding RNA, 2782 nt
Organism: Chelonia mydas (Green sea turtle)
Lineage: Eukaryota; Metazoa; Chordata; Testudines; Cheloniidae
Exons: 3
Source: RefSeq, a predicted model, not a curated record
GACUGAUUUAGGGCUCUCCGCCUUAGGAGCCUGGCGGGUGGGGGGAGGGGUGACAAAGCAUAAGGAACCCACUGGGGUCAUUUUUAGAUUCCACGUUGAAAUGGGAGAAGUUUGCUACAAAGGGAGCUGAGGCUGCCGGUGCUUAACUCCCAUCGGAGCAAAACACCUCAAUGCCCUUAGUUCUGAGAACACCUGAGGGGAGAGUAGAGCAGCAACCUGAACUUUUAAUCCUAGCUCACUUGGUUCCGUAGCUGUAAGGCAUGAAGGACGUGUAGGCACAACUAAAGGUUUUCAGUCCUAAAUGUCAAGGCUAAGUUCCCUAAGAUUAUCAGAGAUCAAGGUUUUUUUUUAAUUUUUAUGUAAGGAGUGCAUCUGUGUCAUCAUCAUGGUCCUGUUAUGCCCCUGGUAUACAAAGCUCCUCCGCUCCUGUCUGUUUCUGGCAAGUCUUUCAGUGGUUCCCCAGCUGUGCCCCAGGUUUUUCAGCUUGGCUUCCACAGCUCUUUGCCAUGUUGUUUUUGGAUGGCCUUGCUUUUGCUUGCCUUCAGGUGUACAUCUUAUUGCUACUCUGGUGAUGGAAUUAGUUUCCUUCCGAAGCCCAUGAACAAGGAACCAUCUACAAAAUGAUGUGGCUUAUCAGUGGUAAAUGGCAGACACCAAUAAACACUCUCAUCAGGAACAAACAAGGCCACCCACUAACAACUGAGAAAGAACAAGAAGUGCACUGGACAGAGCAUUUCAAAGAAUUGCUGACCAGGGAGCCACCUAAAGAGGAAGCAAACAUCUAGGAGGCAGAAGAAGAUCCUAAUAUCAACAGAGACAUCCCAACUAAGGAAGAGAUCAUUCAAGCCAUCAUAGCCUUAAAAAAUGGGAAAGCUCCUAGCAAGGAUAAUUUGAAUGCAGAAUUGUUCAAGCAGUCCUUUUCAAACAGAAGUGUCGUCACUCUUGCUCACAGCCACAUCAGCUUGUAACUUCAGGCAAACAGCAGUAGUUAAGGAAUUCUUGAAGCAGAUCCUUGCUGUAUUAGCCAUUAUCUGAUUAUUGGAGUAAUUUUUAUUGAAAAUAUAAGAUCUACAAAGCCAUGGAUACCCAGCGUGGAAGAACUCAUUAAAUUAGCACAUUCAUCUUUAAAAGGAGAACUUCAGAUCAACAUAAGGUACAACAAUGUUGGAUUUAAAAUCUCUACUCCCCUUCUGUGAGUUUCAAAUCUCUUUUUAUUAGGAGGUUCUGUGCAAGAGCUGCUUGUCACAAAAGGAAACACUUUACAAUUUAUGAAUGUGUUCAUUAUAUAAUAAAUGAACAGCAACAAUAUACUAGCCUUUCCCCCCCGUUAACAGUCGUGUGUUAAAGUAAACACUUAAUUUUUCCAGAUUUGGAAAUUAGUUACAUAUGCACCAAAGGAGCUAGUAAUUUUUGCUGCUUGUCAGCUACACACAAUGAGUAUAUUGCUGUGUGUUUUCCCCAACAAUGAGGAUUUUAGUAAUAUGCAAAGGUGUAUAACAUAAUACCAAAACCUGCAUUACAGAAAAGGUUAAUUGUUGUUUUUUAUUAUUCAGCUGCCAGAGUUUAUAACCUUAGGCCCCCUCCCCAAAGCCAAAGUACGGAUGGCCAUAAAUUAGGUUAUGUAACCUUAAAGUAUACAUUUUCCUUGUUGGCAAGUUCCAAGCAGUAAGCGAGAGUGCAAACAAGGAUUGUAAGCUGCCACAAAAUGUAUUCAUAUUUCUACUCUCUGUUGUAAAAGCCAAAGGGAGGGCACAUAUGUCUAAUGUUGAAAGAACAACUGAAUCUUUGUUUUGAUCAUUAUGGUCAGUAUGUCAUGAGUUUUUUAUAUUUGAAUAUUAAAAUGGUACCACAGUUAGACAUCCUAUAGCAUUAUACAAUACAUUUGUCUCCAUAGCCAUUUAAUAUUGGUCUCACAGAGACCCUGGUUCAAAAAGCUAACAAAAUGUAGAUCUCUGUGCUGAAGAAUCAAAGGGAGGGCCUCUAUGAAGUAUAAUGUAAUUAAUGGUUAACCCUCUCACCAAAACCUAAUUUUAUAAUUGUACUAAAAAGACACACUGAUUGGAUGUGAGAGAAUUUAUAACUCUCAGUGCUUCAUUUGUAAUAAGAUGGACAACUGACCAUUCAAACAGAGGGUCUUGAAAGAAACAAAGCUUAGUUGCCUUUAAACAAUGAAAAAGGAGAGACAUACAUAAAUGGUCACCAAGGCACAAUAUGACAAGGGUGAAGAGUCCCUGAGACUCUGGUUUGGGUCUGUACCAUUCCCCUCCCUAUACAAGUAAAUGAGAACAUUUAGGAAAAUAUAAUACAAAAUCUCUUACAGGAAAUAUAGACUACACUUGCUAAAAUCACUUCUCUAGAAGUGUUUGUAGCUUUUUUCUUUUUUCUUUUCUUUUUUUUUUCUUUUUUUUUAAAAGACCUUCUUUAUACAGAUAAUGCAAAGACUGGUCCAUUUUUCUUACCCAGCAAGCCAAGCUCUAAUGACUUCACUAAGCCAAAGUUGUAUUAAAAUACAGCUUCGUAGUAUUGCUACAAUUUCGGUAAAUAUGUUGUGAACAGCUUGAUGAGUACUAAAUAAAACUUUGCUGUUUUACAGCAUACACUUUAUUUUUUUGCACUUUAUGUAACAAAAGAAAAUGCAAUUAUAGCGUGCAAAAGAAGAAAAAAUGAUUAAUUAUCCUCUAGCUGAAUACUGUAAUUAUAAGCCAUGCCUUCCAUAAAAAUGUAUUGGUAGCUAUAAAUAGGAAAAAAGAAACAUUAGCAAACAUUCCUUGUAAGGAGAGGU